AGCCCCCCUUUUCCAAAAAAUCUGAAAUUCUCUCCCCCUCUCCCCUUUGCCUGCGAACUCCGGCUUAGCUCCAGUCAUCGGCCACAGCGCCGGCCGCCUGUCGCCAGCGACGGAGCCUUCGUCUACGGCGUCCGGAAGGCCAAAAAUUCCCCUUUUUUUGGAUGAUUCGAAAAAGGUGCAACUUGAAGGCGGUGGAGCAGUGGCGUGGUAAUGGCGGUGGCAGAGGCAAUGGCAGAGGCGAUGCAGCAGGCCUAGGGGCUAGGGUUUGGGGCGAGGGCACUAGGGUAAAUUUUUUUUUUAUGUUUUUUGGUUUUGGGCGGUAUUAGGCUAAAUUGUUUAGGUUUUGGUUCUGGGCUUGUUUGGAUUUUGGUAUUUGGUUUUUGUAAUUGGGUUGGUUUAGGACUGGGCUGUUGGAUUGUAAUUUAUUUUGUUUUUUUAAAUUAUGGGCCCCGGGCUGAAUUGAGCUUGUACACUAAUAUUAUAGGAGAAUAAGUGUUUAUGUCGAUUUUAAUGCUAAUUUAUAUGCGAAUAAGUGUUUUUCCAAA
Molecule: long non-coding RNA, 545 nt
Organism: Gossypium arboreum
Lineage: Eukaryota; Viridiplantae; Streptophyta; Magnoliopsida; Malvales; Malvaceae
Exons: 2
Source: RefSeq, a predicted model, not a curated record